UUUCACGUUGAAGGGAAACGAGCAAGGAGGCGAUUCUGACGGUUAAGAGUUUCAAAGGAGGAAAUAUUAUCAUUUAGCCGUUAUUAAUACUACAGUCAUCGCCACCGUCAUCAUCUUCACCACUGCUGUUGUUAGCUUGUUGGAUUAGAUGAGCACUCUCGGUGUGUUUUCUUCUUCUUACUUGGGGUGGUUGGCCUGGCUCAGCACUGUUGUUCUUCAGGCCAAAAGUAUCAAAUUCUUCACUGACAGACGAUUUUGAUCCAGCGGUUCCCAGGCUUGCUUCAGAGACACGUACAGAGCAAAUAGGAUUUGUUCGAAGCGGCAAGAGAAUCAGAAUCAGAUCUGGGGACAUGCUGAGGCUAAUCGAUUGCUUCUCAACGCGUCUGAAUCUGAAUGGUUCAUCUCAGGAAAGGUUUUUUGUAGCAAAGCUGCAGCAACUUCAGGGCACGAGCACGUCACUCUCAAAAGAGCCAGAUGGACCUACGGCACCAUCUUCCCUAGGAAAACCGCUCCAUCUGGACUGAAGAGAGACCACUGGCAUAACUAAGCAGCAGUCCCUCCAGGACCUAUGGGAGGGAGGAGGAAGCUAUUGAAGUUGCUUUGCAACAGGAGGACUUGUUGACUGUCUGGCCUGCCUGCAGUCCUGAACCACGCCUCGUAUAGCUGACACCUGCCACUGGGAAAGCAGGGCGUUCACACAGGCCUCUGACGCAUCGCAGAUGGCGGUAAGAUCGUGUCCACCUUCCAGCGCCAGGAUCACCCGUCCGCCUGCCAGCUCCAUCAGCUGUUUCGUCAGAUUUUAAAAAGAUCAAGAGUCUGCAGCUGUAAACUGGAUAAACCCUGGUCUUCAAAAAGAGGCAGUUUGUGGCAGUUCCUGAGGGGAGGUCUCAGUACAGAAACGUCCCCGUGAGAGCUAGCCAGGAUGGUACACCCUGCCGCAGAAGAAGAUGGGGAAUGUAUAGUACAGUACAGGCAGGCACAGUCCUAGAGUUUCCUCGCUUUCAGUGGUGAGAAGCUAUCGCUGCUAGGAAAGCUAGGACGGCACACAGCAAUCUGAGCAAAAACCAUACACCAGUAUGAAAAAAGAAGGUAAAAAUAUGUGAUGAAGGAUGUGCAGAAGAUAAGCAGAAAAACGAGAGGAGAAUGCAGACAGCAUGACGUAAAUUUGGUCUGGUGAUAGGUUGGUCCCAUUGCCAAGCAUGGCUGUAUUUCAAUGCACAACUGAACUCUUCACCAUGGAAAUAUUUCCACAGCUCUCAAAAAGCACAUUAAAAGUCAGUCUACUAUCAUGGAAAAAGUCUUAUAAAAUAUGUUGGAUUUCUCUGUAAGGAGGACAAGACUUUCUAAAUAAUAAACGGUAAUCUGUCACUGCUGUGUAUUAUCAUGUGACGACAACGACGAUGCCGAGAAGGCUCAGCAGAUGCGUUCCUGGACCACUGAGCUUGAAUGUGCCGACGAGCGGGGCUGUGAGAGCCCGGGAGAGCAGAGCUGGAGGGCAGACGAGGGACGGGAGACGCCCUCGGCCCCAGCCACGCGUCCGGGGCCCAGCCGCCUUCCGGACAGAGACGAGGCCAACUGCAGUCUCGCUACGCCCUCUCCUCUCCUCCUCCGCGUGGUUGUGAGCAGGUGUCACCAAGAAUGAAACUGAGACCUGAUAUCAUCCAGACUUUUUGAGACUCCUGAGCUCAGCUCUAGGAUUUUCUUUUACACAGAAAAUUGAGACUCCAACAGAAUUGUGUUCCUGCAAUAAAAUAACAAAGGCUCAAUCUCUGAGGCUCUAAGUUACCAUAAAAUUUUGUGGGUGGUAAUUUAAUGCAAAUAAUUCAGACGCAAAACACAGAGGCAGAACGAAUCCCUAAUUACACAAGCACAUCAGCGAGAAAUAACUGUAAAAUUAUGAGGUAGGAGGCCAUGCCAAGAUUUAGAACCAUGAAAAUGAACUUCUGUGAAAAAAUGGUGUUUAGGUUGAAUGGGACAGCUGAGUUUCAUGUGAUUUAAAGCUUCUUUCUCUCUCAAAUCAAAAUGCAUUGUAUGACAUAAAUGCAUGAAUGUCUACAUACAGUGGAAAAUAAUAAGUUGGAAAUAACAUUUUUGUAUUCAUAGACUUUCACAGCAAAUAUUGUUGUAUGUCCAUAAAUUUUCAGAAGGCCAGGAAGAUUAUGACAAUGUAAUGCACUGGUAUUUAAUAUUAUUAUUACUAGACUGUGUGUUCCAAGUGCAUAAAAAGAUUAAAGAUGACCACUAUUCAGACUUGAAGAAGGAGGUAUUAAAAAAAAGGCUAAGAAGAAUUUUCAAAAGUCAGAUAAAAACUUGUAUCUAUGGUUUUUAAUUUUUUAUAUUUAUUCCAGGAAAGGGUACUGUAUUUUCUUGAAGAAAACUUCGCUUUCUACAGCAAUAUGGUUUCCUCAAGACAUUUAUUGGCCAAGAUUAAAACUCCCAAUCCUAUCUGAGUGCAAAAGAUCUUUCCCUUAAUAUUCUCUUACUUCACCUGUCGAUCUAUUAAUGUAACGUUAGUUAAUUAAUUAAUGUAAUGUUUAAUUCAGUAUAACUUAAUUUUGGAAACAAGAAUGAUUUUUCCAUUACCAGUAGUGGAUAUACUAAUGCAAAACAUUAUAGUAUAAGAAUAUUGUGUAUAAGCAGAACAGACCUAUUCAUAAAACAGAAAAAAGAGCAGGAAGUCUAUGUUAGCACAAUCGUCAUCAGGCAAGACAGAGAUCCAUUACACCCUCCUCUGAACUGCAGCCCCCACCUGGGUGCUGCCCGGCCACCUCAUCUGAUUAUAAAGCAGCAGCAGCAGCCUCACUGUACAGCACAUCAGCUGGAGGAGUGAGGAGUCGCUCCACCAGUUUACUUAAGGGAUAAAUUUAAUUGGACAGAUAGACGUGGAAUUUAACACCCCCUUGCAAAAACUGCUCAGGGGUCUUUAAAAACCAUGUAAUCAUUACUGUGGGAUUAUGGAACAAGCUACCCAUCCAUGUCACUGAAGCUGAUUUCUUGGCUUCUUUCAAAAACAGGGAUCAAUAAGCUACUAACUACCAAAUGAGCUAGACAGGCCGAAUGGCCUCCUCUCGGUUGUAACUGUUCUAAUCUUCGAUUCAGGACGAUUUCUCGUCUCGUCUGAAGGAUGAUGUCUUGUACAGCCCAGAGUGUUUACGCUGGGGCAUUCAUUUGGAAAUUCUGGUGCAGAGGGAAGAGCACCACCUACUGGUCAUCCAAGCACCGCUUGCAGCGGCACGCUGGUUCUCUCUAGAGGUCCGUCUCAGUACUGAGCAGGCCCAGCCUUGCUGAGCUUCUGACGUCUGACAUGUCAGGGUUCAUGGCGGUGAAGCUCCUGCCUGUUACCGGCAGAACACAGGCACAAGAGCAGGACAGCUCCGCAGAGCCUGAGCUACCGCUGUCUUUCCAGCGACAGAUGUAUGUGAGCUGCGGCCGCCUUUUCAAGAAAGAGACCAGGACGCAUCUUUAAUGAAGCGCUCCCUCGCAAGCACACAUGCAUGACAUUCUCAGUCUUCAUCUUUGUGCGCAGUGGAGAAAUGUGCACCAGCGAAAAAACAACAGUUCUGAUUCACACAAGUCAUCAAUGAAAAUAAACAAACACAUCAGUCUAAAUGAAAGCAACAGUAGCCUGGCCCAGCUCCCUUUAAAAGGUUCAAAGCCUUUAUUCAUUGCCCGUAGUCCUGCCAAGAGCAGGCUAGUGUUGCCCUGACAUGCAUGGAAAUGAUAUGAGGCAUGUAAAUCAAUUAAAAAUAUUAUCAUUUAAAACUUAUU
Non-coding RNA from Lepisosteus oculatus (spotted gar), 3768 nucleotides. NCBI's taxonomy places the organism in Eukaryota, Metazoa, Chordata, Actinopteri, Semionotiformes, Lepisosteidae. The record is from RefSeq and is a predicted model, not a curated record.